Molecule: ribosomal RNA, 492 nt
Filed under: uncultured bacterium
Lineage: Bacteria
Description: partial 16S ribosomal RNA
Rfam family: Bacterial small subunit ribosomal RNA
Source: RNAcentral
AGUGAACGCUGGCGGUAGGCCUAACACAUGCAAGUCGAACGGCAGCACAGUAAGAGCUUGCUCUUACGGGUGGCGAGUGGCGGACGGGUGAGGAAUACAUCGGAAUCUACUUUUUCGUGGGGGAUAACGUAGGGAAACUUACGCUAAUACCGCAUACGACCUACGGGUGAAAGCAGGGGAUCUUCGGACCUUGCGCGAUUGAAUGAGCCGAUGUCGGAUUAGCUAGUUGGCGGGGUAAAGGCCCACCAAGGCGACGAUCCGUAGCUGGUCUGAGAGGAUGUCCAGCCACAUGGGACCUGAGCCCCGUCCCAGACCCCUACGGGAGGCACCAUGGGGGAAUUUUGGACAAUGGGGGCAGGCCUGUCCCAGCAUUCCCGCUUGGUGGAGGAAGGCCUCCGGGUGGUAAGGCCUUUUGUUUGGGAAGGAAAACCAGCAGUUUAUUCCCCCCUGUUCCUGCCGUUACCCAAAGAUAAACCCCCGCCUAAUUUCUUC